GGCCAGACUCCUACGGGAGGCAGCAGUGGGGAAUAUUGCACAAUGGGCGCAAGCCUGAUGCAGCCAUGCCGCGUGUAUGAAGAAGGCCUUCGGGUUGUAAAGUACUUUCAGUCGGGAGGAAGGUGUCAAGGUUAAUAACCUUGUUGAUUGACGUUACCCGCGGAAGAAGCACCGGCUAACUCCGUGCCAGCAGCCGCGGUAAUACGGAGGGUGCAAGCGUUAAUCGGAAUUACUGGGCGUAAAGCGCACGCAGGCGGUCUGUCAAGUCGGAGGUGAAAUCCCCGGGCUCAACCUGGGAACUGCAUUCGAAACUGGCAGGCUGGAGUCUUGUAGAGGGGGGUAGAAUUCCAGGUGUAGCGGUGAAAUGCGUAGAGAUCUGGAGGAAUACCGGUGGCGAAGGCGGCCCCCUGGACAAAGACUGACGCUCAGGUGCGAAAGCGUGGGGAGCAAACAGGAUUAGAUACCCCUGUAGAG
RNAcentral lists this ribosomal RNA (474 nucleotides) under uncultured bacterium. Its description in RNAcentral is "bacterial SSU rRNA". It matches the Rfam family "Bacterial small subunit ribosomal RNA", at positions 329 to 793 of the family's 1533-position model. The record is from RNAcentral.